UCUACAGGUCGAGCAAGUCUCGUAAAUUUCACGAUUGCGAGCCACGCUUCACGCAACCGUGUUUGCGUACUUGUGUUUCGAGUUGCGUGGUCGUGCGGAGUUAUAUUUACCAAAUUUAAAUGUAAUCCUUUCUACUGAUAAUAAUAUAGUCAAUAUGGCUACUGGGUGUAUAAAAGAUAAAUCUUAUUCUAUCUGUUCUUCAUGAGUUUUAGAUAAUUUUAGUUGUAUUUCUUUGUAAUUUUGUGUUGUACAAAGAUUAAUUUAACAUUUUCUCUGGAAGUAUUAAUUUAGAAAGAUAAUAUGCUUCAUUGGUGUUGUGUUUUGAAGUGUGAAAAGCAAAGUAAUUGUGAUAAAGUCAAGAUAAAGUUCACUUUUAAACUGAACUAAAUAAGGUAUCUGAGAGACAACAAUGGUUAAAUGCAAUACAAUGUACAGGUUUUACUAGCGAAAUGAAAAUUUUCCUGUCCUGUCUGCUGUAAUCAUUUUAUAUCUGGUAAGUUACAAUUACAACAGUAACGAUUUUUGAAGAUGUUAACAUUUUAAUCUUAUAGGAAAAUAGGAAAACCAGCAGACUUAAUCGAUAAUAAGAAUCUCCAGAUUGGGUUCCUUCAAUAAAUAUGGGCUAUAAACACAAUGAAAUAAGUUCCCCAAAAUCUAAAAUGGAGUGGUAUCAAAGGAGAAUUAAAGGAAAAAAUAUUCAUAUUGAAAUUAUUUAUAAGGCACUGGACUGUCUUAAAUUCUACAAUAAUACUAGAAUCAGCUGAGAGAAGUAGUCUACAAAAAACCAGGAAGGAAACGGAAUAUGUGGCUACGAAAGGCAAAAGAAAGGUUUACAAAGCAAAUGUGACACAUUUUUUUGAAAUAUUUAGGAAUAUCAGUAAAUUGCAUUAAAAAAUGUAUGAAAAGAUUUUGUUCAAUAAAAAUGUUUAUAUUUA
Molecule: long non-coding RNA, 935 nt
Filed under: Diabrotica virgifera virgifera (western corn rootworm)
Lineage: Eukaryota; Metazoa; Arthropoda; Insecta; Coleoptera; Chrysomelidae
Description: uncharacterized LOC126879703
Source: RNAcentral